GCGUUGUCCGGAUUAUUGGGCGUAAAGCGCGCGCAGGCGGAUUGGUCAGUCUGUCUUAAAAGUUCGGGGCUUAACCCCGUGAUGGGAUGGAAACUGCCAAUCUAGAGUAUCGGAGAGGAAAGUGGAAUUCCUAGUGUAGCGGUGAAAUGCGUAGAUAUUAGGAAGAACACCAGUGGCGAAGGCGACUUUCUGGACGAAAACUGACGCUGAGGCGCGAAAGCCAGGGGAGCGAACGGGAUUAGAUACCCCGGUAGUCCUGGCCGUAAACGAUGGGUACUAGGUGUAGGAGGUAUCGACCCCUUCUGUGCCGGAGUUAACGCAAUAAGUACCCCGCCUGGGGAGUACGACCGCAAGGUUGAAACUCAAAGGAAUUGACGGGGGCCCGCACAAGCGGUGGAGUAUGUGGUUUAAUUCGACGCAACGCGAAGAACCUUACCAGGUCUUGACAUUGAUGGACAGAACUAGAGAUAGUUCCUCUUCUUCGGAAGCCAAAAAACAGGUGGUGCACGGUUGUCGUCAGCUCGUGUCGUG
RNAcentral lists this ribosomal RNA (531 nucleotides) under uncultured bacterium. RNAcentral's name for it is "bacterial SSU rRNA". It matches the Rfam family "Bacterial small subunit ribosomal RNA", at positions 538 to 1069 of the family's 1533-position model. The record is from RNAcentral.